UCUCACUCACCAAAAAAAUUUUCGCUUGCAAAGUACUUAUAAUAGACCUGACGAUAUUAUCAAAGAUAGUUUCGCUCCGACCUCCGCGUCUUCGCCUCCGCCUCCCCUUGUUGCUGCAGUUAGGGUUUCGUAAGACACACACAAGAGCGAACAGGUUUAGUAAGUCCGGGCAUCUUCUGUUCAGGAAGGAUGAGGCCAAUUUUCUGUGGUAACUUCGAUUUUGAGACCAGACAGUUUGAGCUGGAAAAGCUUUUCAGAAGAUACGGGAAGGUUGAUAGGGUGGAUAUGAAGUCUGGUUUUGCUUUUGUUUAUAUGGAUGAUGAAAGAGAUGCAGAGGAUGCUAUUCGGGGGCUUGACCGAAUAGAAUUUGGCAGAAAGGGUCGGAGGCUUCGUGUUGAGUGGUCAAAGGAAGAACGAGGCAGGAAGCCUGAGGGUUCUAGUAAAUCUUCAUCAAGUGUCAGAGUUUGCAAGACGUUGUUUGUCAUAAAUUUUGAUCCAUAUAAUACUAGGACAAGGGAUCUGGAAAGGCACUUUGAUCCAUAUGGAAAAAUACUCAAUACAAGGAUCCGGAGGAAUUUUGCAUUUAUUCAAUUUGAGACACAGGAGGAUGCCACUAGAGCCCUGGAUGCAACGAAUAUGAGUAAGCUGAUGGACCGAGUUAUCACAGUGGAGUAUGCAAUCAAAGAUGAUGAUGAUAGGAAAGAUGGAUAUGGUCCUGGUAAAACCUAUGAUCGAUCACCUAGGAGAGGUUAUGACCGAAGCCGAUCUCAUAGUCCUUAUGGAAGAGACAGGCGGAGUCCAGACUAUGGUCGUGGUCGAGAUCGUCCAAGUCCAGACUAUGGUCGUGGCCGAGAUCGGCUAAGUCCUGAAUAUGGCCGUGGUCGAGAUGGGCCAAGUCCUGACUUUGGUCGUGGUAGAGAUCAGCUAAGUCCUGGUUAUGGUCGUGGCCCUAGUCGAAGUCCUAAUCAUAGGGAAAGGAAUUCUGAGUAUGGCCGUGGUAAUAGUCCAGCUGUAGAAAAGGAGAGAAAGCCUGGUCAUGGCAAUGUCUGUAGCCCUAGCCUUCGCAGGGAGAGAACAAAUCCAGGAAAUGGCCUUAUGAGCAGCAGCCCUUUGAAAAGCAGAAGUCCUGGUUAUGGCAAUAAACCCAGUCCUAGUCCUCAAAGGGAGAGAAGCGAGAAAUAUAGCCCAAAUGCUUAUAAUCGUGGCAGCAGCCCAAGUCCUAAACUUGAACCAGUAGGAAGCCCUGCACGUGAUGGGAGGGGAAGUUCAGAGCGAUACAGGAGUCGUUCACCUCCAGCUCGGGAAAGAUCGCGCUCCUAAUUUGCUUGAAGCUGUUUUGAUCCUAGGAGUAAUGUCUGUAGGAUGGUUAUGUUGAAAGUGGUGCUUGUAGAAUUACACCUUGAAGAUGCUAGAGCAUCAAAGUAGCAUGUCUCAUCUCUGCAUUUUUAGGUGCCAAAGAUCUUCAAGUCAGAAAAGGAGAAACACAACAGUACGGUAGCAUUUCGGGAGCAAUAUGAUGGAAAUGUUACAUAUUGGUGAACAUGGUGCACUGGUACUACACCUUUGAUAUAAUUGCUUCAGACUUGCUAGUCUUGCUUCCUGGAUAUUUUUUCAUGUAUGGACCAACAAGUGUGGUCCUUAAAUAUUCUCAGUACGGACAGUUUUAAUUUGGUGAGGAGUAAGAGUCGGUCUGUUAUAUU
Molecule: RNA transcript, 1700 nt
Organism: Capsicum annuum
Lineage: Eukaryota; Viridiplantae; Streptophyta; Magnoliopsida; Solanales; Solanaceae
Gene name: serine/arginine-rich splicing factor RS31
Exons: 7
Source: RefSeq, a predicted model, not a curated record